Molecule: long non-coding RNA, 859 nt
Organism: Humulus lupulus (European hop)
Lineage: Eukaryota; Viridiplantae; Streptophyta; Magnoliopsida; Rosales; Cannabaceae
Exons: 2
Source: RefSeq, a predicted model, not a curated record
AAGGACCCCCAACAUUUGAACAGCCAAAGAUGACUCUUGAAAAGCUUUUUGAGUAUGGAAACAUGCUUGUAGAAGAGCAAGAAAAUGAAAAGAGAGUUUAGUUUUCAGACAAGUACUUGAAAGAAGCAGCUCUUGGAGAGGCAAAUGAAGAUGCCAUUAGCUAAUGAUGCACGUAUUUUUCUAGAAUGUGCCACAAACUCAGAUUAUGGAUUUCCAAUGCCGCCCCAAGGAAAAUAUUAUUUUGUUGAUUCUGGCUAUACAAACAUGUCUGGUUUUCUUUCGCCAUAUCGAGGGGAAAUGUAUCAUUUGGGUCAGUACACAGAUCUUAAUCCCAUAAGAAAAAAAGAGUUUUUCAAUUAUCGACACUCUUCCUUGAGAAAUGUCAUUGAGCGGUGUUGAAGGCGUGUUGAAGGCUCACUUUCCAAUCAUAAAGCAAAUGCCUUCAUAUGAUCUAAGAAUACAAAAGUACAUCGUCAUUGCUUGCUGUGGGAUUCACAAUUUUAUAAGGACAAAUGCAGAAGCAGAUGUAUAUUUUGAUGGAGGUGAAGGAAAUUCUGAAGUAUAGGCCACUACUUUACAAAGCACGGAUGAAACUUUGACUAAUAGUGUAGAGUUUGGUAUUUCUAGAACUCAUAUACGUGAAAUGACUCAUGUUCGUGAUGAAAUUGCUGAUCAUAUAUAGAGAGCAAGUCGACGAUAGUGACAUUGAGUAAAUACAUUAGUUGAUUGUUGUGACUCGUUUAAUACUUUACUUUAAGUUUGGACAAUUAUCAAUUUAUACGUUUUUAUUUUACUAUCUAGACUUUAUUGAUUUUGUGUUAUCUCAUGGAUAGAUAUUAAGUUUUGAAAUUUGAGAUUA